Molecule: ribosomal RNA, 390 nt
Filed under: uncultured bacterium
Lineage: Bacteria
Description: bacterial SSU rRNA
Rfam family: Bacterial small subunit ribosomal RNA
Source: RNAcentral
CAGUGGUUUAAUUAAGUCAGAUGUGAAAGCCCGGGGCUCAACCUYGGAAGGUCAUUUGAAACUGGCAAACUAGAGUACUGUAGAGGGGGGUAGAAUUUCAGGUGUAGCGGUGAAAUGCGUAGAGAUCUGAAGGAAUACCGGUGGCGAAGGCGGCCCCCUGGACAGAUACUGACACUCAGAUGCGAAAGCGUGGGUAGCAAACAGGAUUAGAUACCCUGGUAGUCCACGCCGUAAACGAUGUCUACUUGGAGGUUGUUCCCUAGAGGAGUGGCUUUCGGAGCUAACGCGUUAAGUAGACCGCCUGGGGAGUACGGUCGCAAGAUUAAAACUCAAAUGAAUUGACGGGGGCCCGCACAAGCGGUGGAGCAUGUGGUUUAAUGAUGCAACGCG